RNAcentral lists this ribosomal RNA (412 nucleotides) under uncultured Lactobacillus sp. RNAcentral's name for it is "bacterial SSU rRNA". It matches the Rfam family "Bacterial small subunit ribosomal RNA", at positions 58 to 446 of the family's 1533-position model. The record is from RNAcentral. Lineage: Bacteria; Bacillati; Bacillota; Bacilli; Lactobacillales; Lactobacillaceae.
CGAGUCUGCCUUGAAGAUCGGAGUGCUUGCACUCUGUGAAACAAGAUACAGGCUAGCGGCGGACGGGUGAGUAACACGUGGGUAACCUGCCCAAGAGAUCGGGAUAACACCUGGAAACAGAUGCUAAUACCGGAUAACAACAGAUGAUGCCUAUCAACUGUUUAGAAGAUGGUUCUGCUAUCACUCUUGGAUGGACCUGCGGUGCAUUAGCUAGUUGGUAGGGUAACGGCCUACCAAGGCGAUGAUGCAUAGCCGAGUUGAGAGACUGAUCGGCCACAUUGGGACUGAGACACGGCCCAAACUCCUACGGGAGGCAGCAGUAGGGAAUCUUCCACAAUGGACGCAAGUCUGAUGGAGCAACGCCGCGUGAGUGAAGAAGGGUUUCGGCUCGUAAAGCUCUGUCGUAGGUGAA